GAUGAACGCUGGCGGCGUGCCUAAUACAUGCAAGUCGAGCGAACGGACGAGGAGCUUGCUUUUCUGAUGUUAGCGGCGGACGGGUGAGUAACACGUGGAUAACCUACCUAUAAGACUGGGAUAACUUCGGGAAACCGGAGCUAAUACCGGAUAAUAUUUUGAACCGCAUGGUUCAAAAGUGAAAGACGGUCUUGCUGUCACUUAUAGAUGGAUCCGCGCUGCAUUAGCUAGUUGGUAAGGUAACGGCUUACCAAGGCAACGAUGCAUAGCCGACCUGAGAGGGUGAUCGGCCACACUGGAACUGAGACACGGUCCAGACUCCUACGGGAGGCAGCAGUAGGGAAUCUUCCGCAAUGGGCGAAAGCCUGACGGAGCAACGCCGCGUGAGUGAUGAAGGUCUUCGGAUCGUAAAACUCUGUUAUUAGGGAAGAACAUAUGUGUAAGUAACUGUGCACAUCUUGACGGUACCUAAUCAGAAAGCCACGGCUAACUACGU
RNAcentral lists this ribosomal RNA (496 nucleotides) under uncultured bacterium. Its description in RNAcentral is "partial 16S ribosomal RNA". It matches the Rfam family "Bacterial small subunit ribosomal RNA", at positions 28 to 506 of the family's 1533-position model. The record is from RNAcentral.